This 492-nucleotide ribosomal RNA is filed under the name uncultured bacterium. Its description in RNAcentral is "partial 16S ribosomal RNA". It matches the Rfam family "Bacterial small subunit ribosomal RNA", at positions 29 to 507 of the family's 1533-position model. The record is from RNAcentral.
AGUGAACGCUGGCGGUAGGCCUAACACAUGCAAGUCGAACGGCAGCACAGUAAGAGCUUGCUCUUACGGGUGGCGAGUGGCGGACGGGUGAGGAAUACAUCGGAAUCUACUUUUUCGUGGGGGAUAACGUAGGGAAACUUACGCUAAUACCGCAUACGAUCUACGGGUGAAAGCAGGGGAUCUUCGGACCUUGCGCGAUUGAAUGAGCCGAUGUCGGAUUAGCUAGUUGGCGGGGUAAAGGCCCACCAAGGCGACGAUCCGUAGCUGGUCUGAGAGGACGAUCAGCCACACUGGAACUGAGACACGGUCCAGACUCCUACGGGAGGCAGCAGUGGGGAAUAUUGGACAAUGGGCGCAAGCCUGAUCCAGCCAUACCGCGUGGGUGAAGAAGGCCUUCGGGUUGUAAAGCCCUUUUGUUGGGAAAGAAAAGCAGCAGGUUAAUACCCCGCUGUUCUGACGGUACCCAAAGAAUAAGCACCGGCUAACUUCGUG